RNAcentral lists this ribosomal RNA (424 nucleotides) under uncultured prokaryote. Its description in RNAcentral is "bacterial SSU rRNA". It matches the Rfam family "Bacterial small subunit ribosomal RNA", at positions 355 to 796 of the family's 1533-position model. The record is from RNAcentral.
UGGGGAAUCUUGGACAAUGGGCGCAAGCCUGAUCCAGCCAUGCCGUGUGGGUGAAGAAGGCCUUAGGGUUGUAAAGCCCUUUCAGUCGUGACGAUGAUGACGGUAGCGACAGAAGAAGCCCCGGCUAACUCCGUGCCAGCAGCAGCGGUAAUACGGAGGGGGCAAGCGUUGUUCGGAUUUACUGGGCGUAAAGGGCGCGUAGGCGGGCGAUCAAGUCAGGGGUGAAAGGCGUGGGCUCUACCUGGGACGUGCAUUUGAAACUGAUUGUCUUGAGUGCGGGAGAGGGUGACGGAAUUCCCAGUGUAGAGGUGAAAUUCGUAGAUAUUGGGAAGAACACCGGUAGCGAAGGCGGUCACCUGGCCCGCAACUGACGCUGAGGCGCGAAAGCGUGGGGAGCAAACAGGAUUAGAUACCCCCGUAGUCC